Cyprinus carpio carpio is the source of this 1517-nucleotide long non-coding RNA. The record is from Ensembl. Lineage: Eukaryota; Metazoa; Chordata; Actinopteri; Cypriniformes; Cyprinidae.
GUUCCACUGAAUGCUGUAUUAUGGAAACAGACUCCACAGGGAGCAGAGACCCCAUCGAUCAGCUUUCCUGUUAAUCACAUGCUUUGUUGGUAAAAUAAACCCCCAAAUCUCACAAUGCUCCACUUGCUUUCUUCUUCUACCUGGCCUGUACAAGUCCUUCUUGUUCUCACAGAAGAAUGCUGUUGUCCCAUCAGAUUAAGCAGAAGAGAAACGGCAUAGUAGCGUGAGCCACAGUCCUGUCCCAUCCCGUCCCUCUCUGGCAGUCGGCAGACAAGAUUAUGUAAUGCUGGUCCCUCAAACCAUGUGGCAAUUGCCAAACACAUGGCAUAUGGUCUAUCAAAAGCCUGAUUUUAAUAUUUCCUGUUUAGAUGCACUCGGUCUAAACUUCUCAAGAUGUUGAUGCAAUGAAAAAGUGGCUUUCGAACAUUGAUUUUGGUUGAAUCGGCUGCCAUAUGGUUUAAUGCGGUUUUCUUCUGGACCGAGGCCAUUCGGGAAAACAUUGGCAUCACUUUUAUCUCACUUUCUCUUUCUUCUUUAAUAACAGCCAACACAUACCAGCAGAUUAGAGGCCCUCAUAGUCCUCCCAACCCCCGGCACGUAACAAUGGUGUUAGCUGGGGCCAUACAGCUGGUCCGGUCCUGGGUGGAUCUCACACAGAGCCUCGAUCUGAGCAAGAUGCUUCCUGUUACUGGAAUUAUACUGUAAACACUUGUUGUUUGUGCCUGGAAAGGAUAAAUCUGAUGGUUGAUCAAAUCAACAUUUGGACGGUUACCACUCAUUUACAUAACAUGGUAGAAAUUGGAGCAACCGGGCCUUGUUUAAACGGAUUAGACAGGAUUGAAUAACAUUUUUAAAUGACAUAUUUUAGUUCGACCUGUGUGUUGGAAGUACUCUGCUAGUUGCUUUGGAGUUUUCUGUUUGGUUUUGACUGCCUGCCCAGGCCCAUGCUGUGAAAGCCAAUGUGCAUUCCAGUUGAGAACAUUCUGCUUCGUAUCCUCCUCCGUGUCUUAAAUCACUCUCCUGUCUUAGCGUUCGGAAUUAUUUGCUUCUAUUUUUCAUUCCAGCUCAUCCACGUCAAUGGGCCUCAAAGUCAUCCUAGCUUCUCUUUUAGAGAAAACUGAGAACGGCCCUCACCUUUUAACCUGAAGAAUUGCUCCUGUAACCACAGAGAAUGCGAUCUUAGGUUGAAAAUACAUGCCGGUCUGGAAAAGACUCUUGUAAUUCAUAGACUUUCAUUUGACUCCUAACCCUAAGGUUGUGGGUUUGAGUCUUAGGCCGGCAAUACAAUAAUAGCUUGCAAUUCAUUGACAGUGCUGCAAAAGUCAUAACUUAAAAGGAAACGAGAGACAGUCCAGUAAACUUUGAUAUAUAGCAUCUCCGUUAAAUCUUGUGUUCAACAUCUGUUAGAAGACCAGCUGGUACCCAGGAAAAAAAUACCAAGCAGGGGUUUUGUUUAAAUUAGCCUCUGUUCUCUUUACAUGAGCCCAGCUGGAUUUGAUAGCCCCUUUUACCUCUCU